UUACAUGUGUUUUCUGGAUGAGCCUUU
This 27-nucleotide non-coding RNA is filed under the name Homo sapiens (human). The record is from RNAcentral. Lineage: Eukaryota; Metazoa; Chordata; Mammalia; Primates; Hominidae.